UCAGUCGGCUGGACGGCCGCUCGGACGUAGGCCGAAAGGCGGUCCGGGAGGAAAGUCCGGGCUCCAUGGGCAUACGGUGCCGGAUAACGUCCGGCGGGUGUUGAGCCCAGGGAAAGUGCCACAGAGAACAGACCGCCGCCCGCAUCUCUCUCCGCUGAGGGGAGUGACAGGGCGGUAAGGGUGAAACGGUGCGGUAAGAGCGCACCGCGCCUGCGGCAACGCAAGCGGCAUGGCAAACCCCACCGGGAGCAAGACCGAAUAGGGACGGCGCGAGGCUCGCGGCCAGCGAGCCUCGGGAUCAAUGUCCGGAUCCGGCCGUCCGGGUAGGUUGCUCAAGGCGCCGGGCAACCGGCGUCGCAGAGGAAUGGCCGUCACGCGAGGGCGCUUCGCCCUUGCCGACAGAACCCGGCUUAUAGGCCGGCUGAUGCU
Molecule: RNase P RNA, 429 nt
Filed under: Alphaproteobacteria bacterium
Lineage: Bacteria; Pseudomonadati; Pseudomonadota; Alphaproteobacteria
Description: RNase P RNA component class A
Rfam family: Bacterial RNase P class A
About the family: Ribonuclease P (RNase P) is a ubiquitous endoribonuclease, found in archaea, bacteria and eukarya as well as chloroplasts and mitochondria. Its best characterised activity is the generation of mature 5'-ends of tRNAs by cleaving the 5'-leader elements of precursor-tRNAs.
Source: RNAcentral